Molecule: ribosomal RNA, 509 nt
Filed under: uncultured bacterium
Lineage: Bacteria
Description: partial 16S ribosomal RNA
Rfam family: Bacterial small subunit ribosomal RNA
Source: RNAcentral
ACGAACGCUGGCGGCGUGCUUAACACCUGCAAGUCGAACGAAGAGCGAUGGAAGCUUGCUUCUAUCAAUCUUAGUGGCGAACGGGUGAGUAACGCGUAAUCAACCUGCCCUUCAGAGGGGGACAACAGUUGGAAACGACUGCUAAUACCGCAUACGAUCUAAUCUCGGCAUCGAGGAUAGAUGAAAGGUGGCCUCUACAUGUAAGCUAUCACUGAAGGAGGGGAUUGCGUCUGAUUAGCUAGUUGGAGGGGUAACGGCCCACCAAGGCGAUGAUCAGUAGCCGGUCUGAGAGGAUGAACGGCCACAUUGGGACUGAGACACGGCCCAGACUCCUACGGGAGGCAGCAGUGGGGAAUCUUCCGCAAUGGACGAAAGUCUGACGGAGCAACGCCGCGUGAGUGAUGACGGCCUUCGGGUUGUAAAGCUCUGUUAAUCGGGACGAAAGGCCUUCUUGCGAACAGUUAGAAGGAUUGACGGUACCGGAAUAGAAAGCCACGGCUAACUACGUG